UGAGGUGUAACUCAGUGAUAGAGCACUUAUGUAGCUUGUGGGAAGUCCUGGGUUCAAUUCCCAGCACUACAA
RNAcentral lists this transfer RNA (72 nucleotides) under Marmota marmota marmota (Alpine marmot). It matches the Rfam family "tRNA". Rfam says of the family: Transfer RNA (tRNA) molecules are approximately 80 nucleotides in length. Their secondary structure includes four short double-helical elements and three loops (D, anti-codon, and T loops). RNAcentral also lists the same sequence under 2 other names. The record is from Rfam by way of RNAcentral. Lineage: Eukaryota; Metazoa; Chordata; Mammalia; Rodentia; Sciuridae.